AGUGAACGCUGGCGGCAGGCCUAACACAUGCAAGUCGAACGGCAGCACAGUAAGAGCUUGUUCUUACGGGUGGCGAGUGGCGGACGGGUGAGGAAUAUAUCGGAAUCUACUUUUUCGUGGGGGAUAACGCAGGGAAACUUACGCCAAUACCGCAUACGACCUACGGGUGAAAGCAGGGGACCUUCGGACCUUGCGCGAUUGAAUGAGCCGAUGUCGGAUUAGCUAGUUGGCGGGGUAAAGGCCCACCAAGGCGACGAUCCGUAGCUGGUCUGAGAGGAUGAUCAGCCACACUGGAACUGAGACACGGUCCAGACUCCUACGGGAGGCAGCAGUGGGGAAUAUUGGACAAUGGGCGCAAGCCUGAUCCAGCCAUGCCGCGUGGGUGAAGAAGGCCUUCGGGUUGUAAAGCCCUUUUGUUGGGGAAGAAAAGCAGCAGGUUAAUACCCCGCUGUUCUGACGGUACCCAAAGAAUAAGCACCGGCUAACUUCGUG
RNAcentral lists this ribosomal RNA (492 nucleotides) under uncultured bacterium. RNAcentral describes it as "partial 16S ribosomal RNA". It matches the Rfam family "Bacterial small subunit ribosomal RNA", at positions 29 to 507 of the family's 1533-position model. The record is from RNAcentral.